GUAUUAGAGGCAUUGCCUGCCCAGUGACUCUAGUUAAACGGCCGCGGUAUCCUGACCGUGCAAAGGUAGCAUAAUCAUUUGUUCUCUAAAUAGGGACUUGUAUGAAUGGCCUCACGAGGGUUUAACUGUCUCUUACUUUUAAUCAGUGAAAUUGACACUCCCGUGAAGAGGCGGGAAUUAAAAAAUAAGACGAGAAGACCCUAUGGAGCUUCAAUUAACUAACUUAUAAGUUAUAAUACUAAUCUAAAAGAGACAAAUCAAACUUGACUAAGUUAACAAUUUGGGUUGGGGCGACCUCGGAAUAAAAAUCAACUUCCGAGAUAGAUCUACUAAGACCUACAAGUCAAAGUUAUCUUACCACACAUUGAUCCGCCAAUGACGAUCAACGAAACAAGUUACCCUAGGGAUAACAGCGCAAUCCUAUUUAAGAGCCCAUAUCGACAAUUAGGGUUUACGACCUCGAUGUUGGAUCAGGACAUCCCAAUGGUGCAGCAGCUAUUAAUGUGUUCGUUUGUUCAACGAUUAAAGUCCUACGUGAUCUGAGU
This 545-nucleotide ribosomal RNA is filed under the name Plecotus macrobullaris. Its description in RNAcentral is "partial 16S ribosomal RNA". It matches the Rfam family "Bacterial large subunit ribosomal RNA", at positions 1843 to 2610 of the family's 2925-position model. The record is from RNAcentral. Lineage: Eukaryota; Metazoa; Chordata; Mammalia; Chiroptera; Vespertilionidae.